Molecule: small RNA, 29 nt
Filed under: Bombyx mori (domestic silkworm)
Lineage: Eukaryota; Metazoa; Arthropoda; Insecta; Lepidoptera; Bombycidae
Description: ovarian small RNA-26534
Source: RNAcentral
UCCAAGCAUCGCCAGAGUAUUGCUGUAGU